This is a long non-coding RNA of Sarcophilus harrisii (Tasmanian devil), 879 nucleotides long. RefSeq lists it as uncharacterized. NCBI's taxonomy places the organism in Eukaryota, Metazoa, Chordata, Mammalia, Dasyuromorphia, Dasyuridae. The record is from RefSeq and is a predicted model, not a curated record. The transcript is spliced from 4 exons.
CUUACUACUUGAAUCUUCCGCCUGUCUUGAAAGCCCCCCAGAGACCAGUACUGGCAUUUCAGAAGGGAGACAGAUGGAAAUAGUCGUUGCUGUGCAAGGAUACCCACAGUCAGAAGGACAAAGUGUUCCUGAGCACAGAUACCGAAUCCUGGUCCUCGAUGUGCCCGAUAGACCUGCCCUCUUCCCAGUUGUUCCUUAAAUGCCCUCAAUGCUGCAGAGGCAGGAAGAAAGUAGGAGAAGGAGACAUGCAGCAGCAGGAUGAAGAAAAGUCCUGAGAUCCACUGGAAGGCACCAGUGUCCCCAGAGGAGAGGAUUAAACAACAUGAGGGUGCUUGUCCUGCCCAUGUGCCCCAACCUUGCCCUGUACCAACUCUUCUAUCAAGUAUAUGAGGACAGCCAACCAUUGCUGCAUGAAGAGAAUUCAUUCAACGUAUUACUUCCCAUAUCUUCUUUCUCCUGCUGAGAAGCAUAUAAACCCUUCAUUUCCUGCCUGCCUAGGUACGUUAUGUGCAUGUGCCUUCACACUCAGAAUUCAGACUUCGGCGUAUUUCUAACCCACGCAAUAUGUUUCAAGUUGGAGUUUCUGACGGCUUGUCAUUCUGUUGGAAAAGAAUUAGACCUCAGGUUACCUUUUGUAAUCUUUUCUUUGCUACUUCCUUAAAUAAGGGCCAUUACCAAAAUCCUCCCGAUACAUGUUAACUCUGUUUCCUGUCUCAGAUAGAGAUGCCAUCUGAUGAUAUUUAGAAUCAUACUUGGCAUCAGUGGCUCUUUGAACUAGGACCCUUGAAAUUGUGUCACAACUUGCAGGAUCAGUGUGUAUUUGCACAUUUGAUUCCUACUUUAGAGAUGUAAUGAGUUUAAAUAAAGGUGAGACCUCUG